UGGGGAAUUUUGGACAGUGGGCGAAAGCCUGAUCCAGCAAUGCCGCGUGUGUGAAGAAGGCCUUCGGGUUGUAAAGCACUUUUGUCCGGAAAGAAAUCCUUGGCUCUAAUACAGUCGGGGGAUGACGGUACCGGAAGAAUAAGCACCGGCUAACUACGUGCCAGCAGCCGCGGUAAUACGUAGGGUGCAAGCGUUAAUCGGAAUUACUGGGCGUAAAGCGUGCGCAGGCGGUUUGCUAAGACCGAUGUGAAAUCCCCGGGCUCAACCUGGGAACUGCAUUGGUGACUGGCAGGCUAGAGUAUGGCAGAGGGGGGUAGAAUUCCACGUGUAGCAGUGAAAUGCGUAGAGAUGUGGAGGAAUACCGAUGGCGAAGGCAGCCCCCUGGGCCAAUACUGACGCUCAUGCACGAAAGCGUGGGGAGCAAACAGGAUUAGAUACCCUGGUAGUCCACGCCCUAAACGAUGUCAACUAGUUGUUGGGGAUUCAUUUCCUUAGUAACGUAGCUAACGCGUGAAGUUGACCGCCUGGGGAGUACGGUCGCAAGAUUAAAACUCAAAGGAAUUGA
RNAcentral lists this ribosomal RNA (565 nucleotides) under uncultured bacterium. RNAcentral's name for it is "partial 16S ribosomal RNA". It matches the Rfam family "Bacterial small subunit ribosomal RNA", at positions 355 to 913 of the family's 1533-position model. The record is from RNAcentral.